This 73-nucleotide transfer RNA is filed under the name Candidatus Zixiibacteriota bacterium. Its description in RNAcentral is "candidate division Zixibacteria bacterium tRNA-Ala". It matches the Rfam family "tRNA". Rfam says of the family: Transfer RNA (tRNA) molecules are approximately 80 nucleotides in length. Lineage: Bacteria; Pseudomonadati; Candidatus Zixiibacteriota. The record is from RNAcentral.
GGGGAUGUAGCUCAGCUGGGAGAGCGGCGGCUUUGCAAGCCGUAGGUCGCCGGUUCGAACCCGGUCAUCUCCA